This is a non-coding RNA of Rattus norvegicus (Norway rat), 1859 nucleotides long. Lineage: Eukaryota; Metazoa; Chordata; Mammalia; Rodentia; Muridae. The record is from RefSeq and is a predicted model, not a curated record.
CUGAGUUUCAUUUUAGCUCCAGUCUGGUACAAUAACAUCCAGCAGGGCCAAAUCAGGAAGCGCCUCUAACCUCGCUUGUCAGGACCCACACGCAUCUCUUGUCUUGUUAGUUUUUAAAGAGCUCCAAGAAUGUCAGGUUCUGUGGUUUCCUGCUUUCUGAAAUUGCCAUAUGUCUCUAAAUAGGUUUUCUGAAAGUCAGAAUUAGCACAAAAAUACGAUAACUUUGUGCUCUGUGAACCCACCAACCUCUCUCUUUCUUAUAGUCUUGUAAACCAGCAGUGAAAAUCGCUGUUCCCUUUAAUGCCGCAGUCUGCCUGAACUCUGACCUUUCCCUGGCUCAUCUGUGGUUUUGGUGGGCCUUCGGAAGUCAAGGAGCAUUGAGUGUGUUCCUGAAGCAGCUGUGUUCUGCAGAAGAUACAGGCGGUGCAAGCCUGAGAGACGCAAAACCUUGCCACAACCGCUUGUCAACAAGACGGGGUGAAGGGGCAAUCUAACCUUCAAAAUGAAACCAGCGGUGUUCAGUGGUUUGGUUGUGCUGGAGUUUCACGGGAGCAGAAAAGACAAUGCAGGAAGCUCUAAAACACAAGUUCCCCUCAUAUCGAGCCUGCAGACCUGUGGGGACCUAAGUGUCCAAGGGAAAACUCUACUGCGGACAUGGGGUGCAUGUGUGUUAUUUUGUCCUUGGAGGUUCUCAGUGAGUGUGGGAAGCCAUGUUUCUUCCCAGGCUGAACCUAUCUGAUAACUUUUAAAGCAUUAUGAGCUUGGGAGAAAAGAAGGCUGAGUUUAAGCCUGAGGUAAGAACUGUAAACCGCAGUUCCCAGUGAAUUGUAGUCUGCGUUUCCUGCUUCCUGCGUUGCUGAGGUAACCGCUCCACCGGCUGAGAGCUGGAAGCCAAGAACGGAGAAAGGUAGUCUGGGACCGAAUGGGGCUCGAAGUGAAGGCUCAUUCUUACAGGUGGUUUGAGCUAACCUCAGAUGGUUUGCAUUGAACUCUAUUACGUGCCACCUAAGGAAUCCUGAUUAACACGCGGUAGAUGCCCUUUGAGCUUGGCCAAGGUAUUUGCUCAGAACACUCUGGAAAGCAAGGGAAGGGAUUGAGUUCCAAAGUUCAGAGCAUCAGAAAGAUAAUGACUUGGAGAACCGAGACUCCACUUUGGUCAAAGCAAGGUAUUUCCUAUUGUGAAAGAGACCUUUGAAAGCGGAAAGGUCCCAGAACUUCUAAUUUUGACUGUUUGCCUGACCACUUCUGGGGCGGAUCUGGACAGAGGGCAUCUCGUUCCCAGGCUGGUUCUGUGGCUGGAAUUUACAGAAGCUCAUUCCCAUACACCCGCUUCCUCUCUCCGCCAUCUGUUUGUUCGGCUGCCAACAAUCCAAGCUAUUAAGCAAAUGGAGAUGACACGGAAUUUGAAAACAAGCCUGCUGCUCAGCGUGACGAGAGUCACAGUGGCCCUCUCUCCUCGUGGCUCUGCUCUUCUGGCUGACAGCCUGAGGGAAGUCACUUAAGCUCUCUGGGCUUCUGCCGGGCCUCAAAUUUCUUACCGUCGAAGGACGAAGUAAAAUCCCGAGGAAACAUCUUGAAAAUGGGUGAUGCUCUUGCAGUUCUCUUAAAUUAUUCAUAACAGUGAUGGUUCUAUGUAUCAUACGUGUAUACAUAUUGUGUGUGUGGGUUGUGUAGCUGUGGAUGACAAAGCAAGGACAACUGUGUUUUAAUCUAUCACACUCUGCCUCAUUCCUUUGGGUCGGGAUAUCUGACUAAAUACAGAGCAGCGGUUCUCAACCUUACUAAUGCUUGUGACCCUUUAAUAUAGUUUCUCGUGUUGUGGUGACUCUAAUAAAAUUACUUUGUUGCUACUUUCAUAA